RNAcentral lists this ribosomal RNA (256 nucleotides) under uncultured bacterium. RNAcentral describes it as "partial small subunit ribosomal RNA". It matches the Rfam family "Bacterial small subunit ribosomal RNA", at positions 26 to 288 of the family's 1533-position model. The record is from RNAcentral.
AGGACGAACGCUGGCGGCGUGCUUAACACAUGCAAGUCGAGCGGAAAGGCCCUUCGGGGUACUCGAGCGGCGAACGGGUGAGUAACACGUGAGCAACCUGCCCUUAGCUUCGGGAUAGCUCCGGGAAACCGGAAUUAAUACCGAAUAUGACUUUGGCUGACAUCAGCAGAAGUGGAAAGUUUUUCGGCUAGGGAUGGACUCGCGGCCUAUCAGCUAGUUGGUGAGGUAACGGCCACCAAGGCGACGACGGGUAGCC